AGAGAUCUUCGUUCUCUUUCUAGGUUUUCCCUUGGGAUUUUCACACCUCGAUCGUCCAUCCUUUCUUUUCAUAGAAAACCCUAGCUCCGGCUCCUCUUCCUAUACUGAGAUUCUCCAACGCCGCCGCCUGGCGCAGUUUCCACCGAAGCAGCUAAAGCAGAACCCUUCCAUGGCAGCGGAAUCCGUUGCUCCGACUGCAAGAGACCUCCCGCCGAAGGUCUUUGGGACGGAGACUCCGCCGGAAAAGCCCCGGGGUCGGGUUCUCCCAUCCAGAUGUUCAGCAGAUGGCGAUGCUGGAGCUUGGACCCUCUCGAGCAUAAUGCAGAAACUAUCCAAGGGAGACGAACUUGAAAGCUCGAAUGAUCGGAAUUCGGAUGCCAAGAAGACAUGAUGUUCUGUGGUGUGUUUGAUGGCCAUGGCCCUUGGGGACACUAUGUAGCAAAAAGGGUCAGAGAAUCGCUGCCAUCAUCUCUGCUUUGCAAUUGGCAGGAGACUCUUGCUAUGAGCUCAAUUACAUCAGAAUUCCUUUUGGAAUCUGAUAAAAUGCUUAAUCGAUUUGACAUUUGGAAGGAAUCCUAUUUGAGAACUUAUUGAAAUGAGUGAUUCACUUGGGCAAAUGAAUCAUAACCUUGAAGGUUUUAAGAGUGAUCUGAAUGAAGUUACUAAGGGAAGGGAUUGCCUUGAUUCUGAGGUACUUGUCUUGAAAGAGCAGCUAGAAAUAGCACAAGUUGUUGCUGAAGAAAAUGAAGCAAUUACUAUAAAAGCUCGACAGAUGGCUGAGGCAAGGAAGAACUAUGCUGAAGAGGAGGAGAUGAAGCUGUUAGAGAAGUCUGUGGAAGAGCUAGAAUAUACUAUAAAUGUAUUGGAAAACAAAGUCAGC
Molecule: long non-coding RNA, 880 nt
Organism: Magnolia sinica
Lineage: Eukaryota; Viridiplantae; Streptophyta; Magnoliopsida; Magnoliales; Magnoliaceae
Exons: 3
Source: RefSeq, a predicted model, not a curated record